GGGAGUGCGCUCGAAGCUGGAGAGUCGGGACAGUCUGUAACACUGUUGCAUUUAUGCUGAGAAGGUUCGAAUCCUUCCACUCCCA
RNAcentral lists this transfer RNA (85 nucleotides) under Bacteroidia bacterium. RNAcentral's name for it is "tRNA-Tyr". It matches the Rfam family "tRNA". From Rfam's summary of the family: Transfer RNA (tRNA) molecules are approximately 80 nucleotides in length. Lineage: Bacteria; Pseudomonadati; Bacteroidota; Bacteroidia. The record is from RNAcentral.